GCCUACUGCCAUACCACCCUGAAAGCGCCCGAUCUCGUCUCAUCUCGGAAGCUAAGCAGGGGAGGGCCUGGUUAGUACCUGGAUGGGAGACCGCCUGGUAAAAUACCAGGUGUUGUAGGCU
This is a ribosomal RNA of Xenopus tropicalis (tropical clawed frog), 121 nucleotides long. The record is from Ensembl. NCBI's taxonomy places the organism in Eukaryota, Metazoa, Chordata, Amphibia, Anura, Pipidae.